UACGUAGGGUGCAAGCGUUGUCCGGAAUUAUUGGGCGUAAAGAGCUCGUAGGCGGUCUGUUGCGUCGGCUGUGAAAACCCGAGGCUCAACCCCGAACUUGCAGUGGGUACGGGCAGACUAGAGUGUGGUAGGGGAGACUGGAAUUCCUGGUGUAGCGGUGAAAUGCGCAGAUAUCAGGAGGAACACCGAUGGCGAAGGCAGGUCUCUGGGCCACUACUGACGCUGAGAAGCGAAAGCAUGGGGAGCGAACAGG
RNAcentral lists this ribosomal RNA (253 nucleotides) under uncultured bacterium. RNAcentral describes it as "partial 16S ribosomal RNA". It matches the Rfam family "Bacterial small subunit ribosomal RNA", at positions 524 to 776 of the family's 1533-position model. The record is from RNAcentral.